GACGAACGCUGGCGGCGUGCUUAACACAUGCAAGUCGAACGGAAAGGCCCUGCUUUUGUGGGGUGCUCGAGUGGCGAACGGGUGAGUAACACGUGAGUAACCUGCCCUUGACUUUGGGAUAACUUCAGGAAACUGGGGCUAAUACCGGAUAGGAGCUCCUGCUGCAUGGUGGGGGUUGGAAAGUUUCGGCGGUUGGGGAUGGACUCGCGGCUUAUCAGCUUGUUGGUGGGGUAGUGGCUUACCAAGGCUUUGACGGGUAGCCGGCCUGAGAGGGUGACCGGCCACAUGAGGACUGAGAUACGGACCAGACUCCUACGGGAGGCAGCAGUGGGGAAUAUUGCACAAUGGGCGGUAGCCUGAUGCAGCAACGCCGCGUGCGGGAUGACGGCCUUCGGGUUGUAAACCGCUUUCGCCUGUGACGAAGCGUGAGUGACGGUAAUGGGUAAAGAAGCACCGGCUAACUACGUA
This 468-nucleotide ribosomal RNA is filed under the name uncultured bacterium. Its description in RNAcentral is "partial 16S ribosomal RNA". It matches the Rfam family "Bacterial small subunit ribosomal RNA", at positions 28 to 507 of the family's 1533-position model. The record is from RNAcentral.